AAGGCCAAAUUAAGUUUGCAAUGGAGAUGAUGAACUUGAAGCCUUCGUUUGGUCGGAAGCUAAACCAAGACGGGUUUAGCCCCUUGCACUUGGCCUUAAAAAAUGGGCAUACCAAGCUAGUGCUUCGACUGUUGGAGACCGAUAAAGAUCUGGUUCGCGUCAAAGGAAGGGAAGGGAUGACCCCUUUCCAUUUUGCAGCUGCAGUGGGGAACUCUAAUCUUUUAUUCCAGUUCCUUGAAACUUGCCCUGAAUGCGUUGAGGAUGUCACGGUUCGUAACGAGACUGCAUUACAUCUUGCUCUGAAAAACGACCACACCGACGCUUUUAAUCUCUUACAUGGAUGGCUUCGAAAGAACCGUCGUGGAGGAGGCAAUGGUUUGGAAAGAAAGGUUGUGAAUUGGAGAGAUGAUGAUGACAACAGUGUGUUGCACAUUGCAGCUACAAGAAAACAACAUCAGGUAUAUAUGCAAUAUAAUAAUAAGUUGCGCUCCUUUGAUCAUUUUAUUAAUGACUAUUUAUAAUAUUCUACGCAGGCAGUACAACUGUUGUUGGAUUCCUUUUAUGGGUUAGAUGCAAACGCUAAGAACUCGGAAGGCUUGACAGCUCGAGAAAUCAUAGAAAGGGUUGAAAGACAGGGGUUGAACAUGAGUGGCGCCGAAGACGAUGAUACCACCACCGCCAAGAUUGAGCGCAUUAAGAAAAGAACUAGUAGGCCUGAAAGAGCAUUAAUAAAGUUGAUUCGUGCAAGGAAUGGGUUGUCGGAGAACAUGCUCAACGCAACACUGGUGGUAGCGGCGCUGGUCAUAACAGCAAUCUACCAGUCGUCUUUAAGCCCACCAAGAGGUCUUUGGCAAGGUGAUAACACUAUCCCCACCACCACCUCAAACCUUACUACGACUACUAAAUUUACCCUCUUUAACGACAAUUACAGUGAGUAUCGUUUUAAAUUUGUGUUGGGUGAAGAAACAAGGAAAACAGGUACAGCAGUCAUGAAUCCCAACUUGUUUUUAGGGUUUUGGUUUUUCAAUUUUAUAGCAUUUGGGCUUCCGGUUCUUCUAACCGUUUUGCUUUUAUCCAAUGUACCUAGUAUUCUUCUCAUCCCGCUGUAUUAUCUAUCCGUCUCCUACUUCAACUGCAUGACAAUAAUAUCUCCUUCCACGUUUUGGGCAAACCUCAACUUUGUUGUCAUGUGGACAGCCAUUAUUCUCCCGUUGCUCAUAGUUUUUAGAAGUGUAUGGUUAUCGAAGCGGCCAAAGUACAGGGAAAUCAGACAAUUACGCAGACUUUUCCACAAAUAGAAUAAUGUUGGAAUCACUCAAUGGUUGCGAAUGUCAAUGUAGUUUACAUGUUCUCUUAUGUUAUGUACUCUUUUUCCAUUUUCUCUGGAUUAAUAUCUUUUCUCUUGGGUAAAAAAAUUAUGUAAUUGCUUUGGAUAAAUUUAAUAAAUAAGAGUAAUUUUCCCAACAGAUAUCUUUGUCCUUUGCAACGAAAAGAAAAAACAAAGAAAAGCCAACCAUCCUAUUUUCUAAUUUUAAAAAAUAAUUUCCUGUUUCUGAAAAUAUCGAUUCUUUUUUUUUAAAGAUGUUUUCAAAAUAUUAUUCAGUCAAAGUUAAUGAAUUUCUCAACAAAUCGAUAAUGUUGUGGAAUUUGUUGCGGAAAGGAUCGAUUCGAGAACUCCGAUAUGACUACAAGUAAAUUGACCGAAACGAAAAAAUAAAGUGAACACAAGGAUUUACGUGGUUCGGCUUUAAUGCCUACGUCCACGGGCAGAGGCGAAAAGAAAUUUCACUAUAACAAGAUGAAGAUUACAAGUGUUUUACACUCAAGACACAACCCGAGAACCUCACAACUCUCAACCCCUAUAGAAAACCCGAAAGCUAAAAUCCUAGCUUUCAAAGAACAAGCUUUGCUCUCUCUUGGUUUGGGAUCAUCAAUAUGGCUAAUGAACCUCUCUAUUUAUAAGAGAGUUCAAGGACAUAAUUGUCCAAAACUUUGGCAAAGAUUUGUGGUUGAAAAUGGACACCAACAACCAUCCACUAAUCCACUACCACCAACAACCCACUACCAAUUUUAAGCCAUUUCUUAACAAAUCUCCACCUUGGCUUGAAAUUUACCAAGCUGAACAUCAUAGUGAACUGGAUCACCUCUUCCAAACGCCUCUCUGGCGCUAAUCAAUCCCGAAUACCUAUCAAGUCCAAGCAAUGCUUGAACUUAUAUGCAGGGAUCACCUUAGUUAACAUAUCUGCAGGAUUCUUCUCGGUAGCAACCUUGCUGAUAACAAUGUCACCUUGCGUAACAUGUUCCCGAACAAAAUGAUAUCUGACAUCAAUGUGUUUGGUCCGUUCAUGAAACAUCUGAUUUUUAGUCAGAUGUAUGGCACUCUGGCUAUCGCAAAAUACAACAGUGAAAUCCUGUUGUAAACCCAAACUGCUUACUAGACCUUUCAUCCACAAUGCUUCUUUCACUGCUUCUGCUAACGCCAUAUAUUCCGCCUCAGUCGUAGAUAAGGCUACGGUAGACUGUAACACAGCUUUCCAACUAAUGGCUCCUCCAGAAUAAGUGAAAACAUAACCCGUCAGAGAUCUUCUUUUGUCCAGAUCUCCAGCAUAAUCAGAGUCCGCAUAGCCCGUGACACUGCUAGUGCAGUCACUCUGAUCAUAUACCAAGCAUAAAUCUGCAGAACCUCUCAAGUACCUGAGAAUCCAUUUCACGGCCUGCCAGUGUUCCUUGCCAGGACAACUCAUGUAUCUGCUGACCACACUAACUGCAUGUGAAAUGUCUGGACGAGUGCAAACCAUUGCAUACAUCACGCUUCCAACUGCACUCGAGUAUGGAAUGUGAGACAUUUGCUGCUUUUCUUCAUCAGAUUGUGGUGACAACUCUGCAGAGAGUUUGAAAUGUGGUGCCAACGGAGUACUCACAGUUUUCGCUUUAUCCAUGCCGAAGCGUUGAAGAACCUUUUCAAUGUAGUUCUUCUGCGACACACGAAGCUUGCCCGCCUUGCGAUCUCUGUGAAUAUCCAUGCCCAAAAUUUUCUUGGCAGCACCCAGAUCCUUCAUCUCGAACUCACCACUCAACUGCGACUUUAACUUGUUGAUUUCCGACAUGUUUUUGGAAGCAAUUAACAUGUCAUCAACAUACAGCAACAAAUAAAUGUGCGAACCAUCUGAGAGCUUCCGAUGAUAGACACAAGCAUCAUAGUCACAUCUUGUGUAACCAUGCUGAAUCAUGAAGCUAUCAAACCGCUUGUACCACUGCCUUGGGGAUUGUUUCAAUCCAUAUAAAGACUUCUUUAAUAGACAGACAUGGUCUUCUUUACCAGGAACUGUAAAACCCUCUGGUUGACGCAUGUAGAUUGUUUCCUCGAGCUCACCAUGCAAGAACGCCGUUUUUACGUCAAGCUGCUCAAGUUCUAGAUCAGACUUGGCCACCAUGGCAAGUAAUACACGAAUGGAAGAAUGCUUUACGACUGGGGAGAAAACUUCAUUGUAGUCAAUCCCCUCUUUCUGAGUGAAGCCUUUAGCAACCAAUCGUGCCUUGAAUCUAGUUGCUUCAACCCCUAGGAUGCCUUCCUUUUUCUUGAAGACCCAUUUGCAACCAACUAUCUUCUGGUUACUUGGCGGCUUAACCAACUCCCAAGUAUGGUUCUUGUGAAGAGAUUCUAUCUCCUCACUCAUAGCAAUUGCCCACUGUGCCGACUCAUCACACGUGACAGCCUCAUUAUAACUGGAAGGUUCUAUACCAAUGGACUCCGCCACACUGAGCGCGAAAGACACCAGAUUAGCGUAACGCGGAUUUGGUUUGAUUUGUCUCUUCGUUCUUCCAGUGGCAAUGCUAUAUGGUUUUUCUUGAGGUGACUCAUCUUCAUCGGAAUCUUGCACCUCAACUUGAUCAUCCUGGACUGAAGUACCUUCCGUAGGAAUUGGAGCGUCCACCUGACACUCCACCUGCUUCUCAACACCGUGAUCUCCCAUUCUAUCUGACUCCUCCUUUUCCCGGGAAUUUGUGGUGGAUCGAAGCAUGGAUGACUCAUCAAAAGUCACAUCUCUGCUGAUGAUGAACUUGGACGAAACCGGAUCAGGACACCACAACCUGUAUCCUUUCACCCCUUGGCCGUAUCCAAGAAAUAUGCAUUUCUUCGCCCUCGGUUUGAGUUUUCCCUCAUUUACAUGAGCAUACGCAGGGCAGCCAAACACUCUUAAACCAGAGUAAUCAGCAGGAGAACCAGACCAUACUUCCUCAGGAGUCUUCAGCUCAAUAGCUGUUGACGGAGAUCUGUUAACCAAAUAACAAGCAGUAUUAACAGCUUCAGCCCAAAAUUCUUCACCGAGCCCAGCAUUUGAUCGCAUGCAACGAGCUCGCUCCAAGAGAGUUCUAUUCAUGCGUUCUGCAACUCCAUUUUGUUGUGGUGUUCGACGAACAGUGCGGUGUCUCACUAUUCCUUCAUUUUUGCAGAACUCAUUGAAUUCACCUGAGCAAAACUCCAAGCCAUUAUCCGUCCGGAAUCGCUUGAUCUUCUUUCCUGUUUGAUUUUCGAUCAAAGCUUUAAAUUGCUUGAAGUUGAUGAGAACCUCAUACUUGCUCUUCAGAAAAUACACCCAAACCUUUCUCGAGUAAUCAUCGAUAAAGGUAAGCAGAUAUCUGUAACCACCUUUAGAAAUUGUCGGAGAAGGCCCCCAAAGGUCAGAAUGGAAGUAAUCCACUGUGCCUUUUGUCUUGUGAAUCCCAGUGCUGAACUUUACCCGAGUCUGCUUACCGAAGACGCAGUGCUCACAGAAAUUCAACUUUCCUGUACACUGCCCAGACAAUAAUCCUCGUUUGCUUAGCACCGAUAAGCCUCUCUCGCUCAUAUGCCCGAGCCGCAUAUGCCAUAACUUCGUGGUGUCAGAAUCUAGAUCAUCUGAUGAUGACACUCCCGCAACACCUGUAACCGAGGAACCAUCGAGGAAGUAAAGGCCCCGCUCCAAAUUACCACGUAUCACAGUCAAAGCACCCGAGAAUACCUUGAGAACUCCACCUUCAGCAGAGUACCGAAAGCCUUUCUUGUCCAACGUACUCAAAGAGAUCAAAUUUUUCUUCAUUUCUGGAAUGUGCCGAACAUCAGUUAGAGUUCUAACAAUACCGUCAAACAUCUUUAUACGAACUGUGCCAAUCCCCAUGACUUGACAUGCGUGGUCAUUUCCCAUUAGUACUGAACCAGAAUGCUUCUCGUAUGUUGAGAAUGCAUCUUUCGAAGUACUUAUAUGAAAUGUAGCUCCCGUAUCAAGAAUCCAUCUCCCACCAGCGUAAGAGUCGGAUACUGCAAGAACGAUCUCGGCAUCACUUGAAGAAUCUGCAUCAGCUACAUUCGCACGAUCAUUUUGUUGCUCCUGUGAUUCUGAUUUCUCCUUCCUUUUCGGACAAUCUACCUUCAUGUGCCCGUACUUCUUACAGUAGUAGCACUGUAUUCUCUUCUUGGACUGCGAUCUAGGAUGGCUUUUACUUGAACUUCCACCCUUUGCCUUGGAUCUUCCUCGAGCAACCAAGCCUUCGCCUUCAUUGUUUUCGACCACCUUACCAGUGAUUUUCUUCCUCAACUCACUGGAACUUAAGGCAUUUUUCACCUCCUCUAGAGUCAGGUCAUCACGACCGUACAUCAUUGUAUCAACAAAAUUCUCAUACGAGGGAGGCAAAGAACACAAAACAAUUAUUGCUUGGUCCUCAUCAUCGAUUUUGUUAUCGAUAUUAUUCAAAUCCAUGAUAAUGGAAUUGAAUUUAUCCAGGUGCUGGGAAACAGGUGUACCUUCCUCCAUCUUCAGGGCAUAGAGUCUUUGCUUGAGGUAGAGCCGGUUCGUCAAUGACUUCGUCAUGUACUUGCUCUCUAACCGGAGCCACAAACCGGACGCGGUUUUCUCAUCCGCUACUUCUCGUAGCACUUCAUCUCCUAGACAUAGCAGAAUAGCACUAUGUGCUCUUUCUAGCAUGUCAUCCUUUUGCUCUUCCGAAAGCGUGCUUGGUAAUUUAUCUUUACCAGACAAUGCUUUUAGCAAUCCUUGUUGAACCAGCACUGCCCGCAUCUUGAUGCGCCAUAAACUGAAACUAUUUUUCCCGGUAAAUUUCUCGACAUCAUACUUAGUCGAUGAAACACUUGUAGCCAUAAUUUGGAACCUUUGAAUGAAUGAUAAUAUUUUCUUCCUGAUGUGAAAGAUCAGACAAAGCUGCAGUCACAGGGCAAUUCAGAAAAUAUUAUCACUCCUUCAACUACGCUCUGAUACCAAUUUGUUGCGGAAAGGAUCGAUUCGAGAACUCCGAUAUGACUACAAGUAAAUUGACCGAAACGAAAAAAUAAAGUGAACACAAGGAUUUACGUGGUUCGGCUUUAAUGCCUACGUCCACGGGCAGAGGCGAAAAGAAAUUUCACUAUAACAAGAUGAAGAUUACAAGUGUUUUACACUCAAGACACAACCCGAGAACCUCACAACUCUCAACCCCUAUAGAAAACCCGAAAGCUAAAAUCCUAGCUUUCAAAGAACAAGCUUUGCUCUCUCUUGGUUUGGGAUCAUCAAUAUGGCUAAUGAACCUCUCUAUUUAUAAGAGAGUUCAAGGACAUAAUUGUCCAAAACUUUGGCAAAGAUUUGUGGUUGAAAAUGGACACCAACAACCAUCCACUAAUCCACUACCACCAACAACCCACUACCAAUUUUAAGCCAUUUCUUAACAGAAUUAAAUCUGAAUAUUACAUAAAAAGAUGACAAUACAUUUUUUCGAUUUAAUAUUCAAGCCAAAUAACAUGCAACUUUGAUAGAGAUAAUGAACAGUAAACCUCAUAAGGGUUCUAAGAAGUCCUUUUAUGCUUGCCUUUCCAGACUACACCGCUUUGGAGCCCAAUAUGGCUCAUUCUCUUUGUCUGCAUAGUCAGCUUUUGUGCUUGCUUGAGUUUUGCGGUUUCAGGUCCUUUUCACUUCUACAAGCAUUAAGAUUGUCUACACUAGAUCACAUUCAUGUAAUUUGGGCUCACAAUGAACCUGGUUUUGUCUGGACUCAUUGCUAUGUGUUUAAGUUAGACUUGGACCUUUCAUUUUUUUUUAUAUGAAAAUUGAUUGCUCGGGAAUUUUGUUAAACCAAACUAUGUCAAUUUUACCUUAAAAAAAACAUGUUAAUUUUGUACACGUCCUUGUACUAUUAUAGUAUGAAAUAUAUUUUUCUUUCAAAUGAGAAAACAAGUAAUAUGAAUUUUUUUUUUGUAAUAAUUGAAUUAAACUGUUAAAUGCGACGGUUCAAAUUAAGCAACAAUGAGUUAGGUAAACUUGUCAUUAUUUAAAUUAAUAUCUAUCAUUUAAUUAAGCCCCCUUAUAAAAUUAUUUUCCUUUACAAUUCUUAUGAAAUCAAAAAAAAAAAAAUUUUUGCAGGACUGAGAUAAAAUUAUAAAAUUUUAGGAAGAUCAAUGUUAUUUUUUUUUGCUUAAAUUAAAUUAUUAAAUUUUUAGAACGGCGAAAAAUUAAAAAUUUUCCAUUAAUCAAAAAGGUUUUAAAAAAAAACUUAAAUGAAAUAAUUGGUCCUUGUAGUCUCAAUUUCUAAGGACCUUUGGGCUGAAUUUAAGAGUACAAGAACCAAAAUGCACUCCUCUCAAUUGAAUAUUAUAAUUGGUUUGAUUUAUUAUUUUUGGUGCAAACAAUCAACACUCAAACAGUCAAUACCGUCCGAUAGAUCACGUGGAAAACCAUCCUAACAUAUGAGAAUAUAUCCAGAAGAAGAAACUUAUCCAAAUCCAACCCACCACAAGUUGUCAACCAGCUCAUCCCAUUGGCCUUUCCACACCUUCGAACUGAUUGGUGCAAUCCGAGCUGGUCCUAUUAUUGGAAAGAGAAUAGAAUCUUAACCGUGGGACCACACUUAAGCCGGCGUCCUAAAUGAUUAGACGCGUGAAAAAACGGUGGGUAUUCUUUCACCCAAUACCAUCACUACAAAUACACAAACCAUGUCUACCCAUACUCUGGGCUAUUUGUGAUAAAACAGGAAAACAAUGAAAAAUAAUAAUAUAAAGAAGAGAAAACAUUCAAAUCUCGUUAAAUUCAUGAACAAAAUUGGUUGUGGGGUUCUCAAUGUUGCUAAGUAAAGACGGAGUUUUUAAUAUUGAUGCGAGAGCUAUUUUAGAAGGGUUAUGUUAGAGAUUGAGAGUAAUAACACUCUUUUGAUGGGAUGAUUGUAGAGGGAGGAGCAGCUAAUAGUUAGUUAAUAGAAUUACAUUCUAUUCAUCGAAUGAUGCGUCGAGAUUGGAAGAUUUGUUUUCGUCAUAUCCCAAGAACUCACAAUACAAUUGCUGAUCAUAUUACUAAGGUUAUGACGAUAAAAUUCACUGAAGUCUUAUUUUGUACAACAUUUAAUAUAAACAGAUUACAUUAGUAUUACAUAGGCUAAUACGUUAUCUUAAUAGUAUCGCGUACAGCUAUUUUAAUUUACCAAAUAAUAAUAAUAAUGGAGCCCAUGCUUUUUGAAUCUUUUCUAUGUCACAGCUAUGGAGAUGGGUCAAGACACAACUAUCCUUUUUUUAGGUCAAAUAAAUCUCAAUUAGUUUUUUAAGCCCUCUGUAUAUAUAUAUUUAUCUAAUAAAAUUUUCCACGUUUCAUAAUGAUCGAAGAAGUGUAAAGCAAAAGUUUAUAAAAAGUUUAUAAUUAAAAAAUAUUCCAUAUCUUCGAGUAUUUAACUGAAAAGUUGAUAUGUUUAUAAAAAUUUAUUUUAUGAUCAAUAUAUAUCAAGAAAAAAAUUUUAAUUUCAAAAAAAUAUUGAUUAAAAAUAUCCACCAAAAUGAUAAGAAUGUACAUAAUUCAAAAUUUUAAACAUCUUAUUUUUAAACUGAUAUUCCUAAGUAAAUUAUAUAUCUUAAAAUAUGUUUUUAAUACUGAUAUUUCUUAAUAAAUUUGUUUCUAAAUUAAAUAUUAUUUUUCUAAAAUUAUCUUAAAAUUUUUGAUACGUGAAAAAAGUUCGACAAAAUAUAGUAAAAUAUUAAAAAAUAAAUAUUAAAAAAAACACAUACCAAUACACAAAAUAUAUUUUAUAACAUGUUAUUUAAAAUAAAUAUUUUAUUUUCUAAAAGUAUUUUUUUUGCCACAAUACUAAAAAUAUAAAUUUUAGAGUAAAAUAUUUGAAAGCUAAGCUGGUCAACUUGCCUUGAAACAAGUGGGGAAAAUGCGUCCAAAUUAUAUUGAAGUGAGAAACAGGGAGUGGGUUUCAAGAUUUUGAAGUCUAUGAUUGGCGGCCAUCGAUUUAUAUCCCUCGUCAAAUCUAUAUUUUAAAAAUGAUUAAAAAUAUUCGAUAUUUAUAUUCAAUAUAAAUCUACCCUUGACGGAGCUUGUUUUAAAUCAGUUGAGGUUUCAAAUAAGGAUAGUCAUUUUGCAACUCUCCUAAUUUCUUCAUCAUUUAAAGAAAGAAACAAAAGCAUGGAUCCAAGCUUGAGAGAAGUAGCUGGAACAGGAGAUACUAAUGCCUUGUACGCUCUAAUUCGAAAGGAUCCGUACAUGUUGGAGCGUAUUGAUCAGAUUCCUUUCAUCGAUACUCCACUUCACAUAGCAGCAAAUGAAGGCCAAAUUAAGUUUGCAAUGGAGAUGAUAAACUUGAAGCCUUCGUUUGGUCGGAAGCUAGACCAAGACGGCUUUAGCCCCAUGCAUUUGGCCUUCAAAAUGGGGCAUACCAAGCUAGUGCUUCGACUGUUGAAGACCGAUAAAGACCUGGUUCGCGUCAGAGGAAGGGAAGGGAUGACCCCUUUCCAUUGUGCAGCUGCAGUGGGGAACUCUAAUCUUUUAUUCCAGUUCCUUGAAACUUGCCCUGAAUGUGUUGAGGAUGUCACGGUUCGUAACGAGACUGCAU
Molecule: long non-coding RNA, 9843 nt
Filed under: Gossypium barbadense (sea-island cotton)
Lineage: Eukaryota; Viridiplantae; Streptophyta; Magnoliopsida; Malvales; Malvaceae
Description: long non-coding RNA (GBAR_LNC007827)
Source: RNAcentral